This is a non-coding RNA of Caenorhabditis elegans, 21 nucleotides long. Lineage: Eukaryota; Metazoa; Nematoda; Chromadorea; Rhabditida; Rhabditidae. The record is from Ensembl.
UUCUUCGAGGCAAAGCAAGAU